GAUGAACGCUGGCGGCGUGCCUAAUACAUGCAAGUCGAGCGAACGGACGAGAAGCUUGCUUCUCUGAUGUUAGCGGCGGACGGGUGAGUAACACGUGGAUAACCUACCUAUAUGACUGGGAUAAUUUCGGGAAACCGGAGCUAAUACCGGAUGAUAUUUUGUACCGCAUGGAUCAAAAGUGAAAGACGGUCUUGCUGUCACUUAUAGAUGGAUCCGCGCUGCAUUAGCUAGUUGGUAAGGUAACGGCUUACCAAGGCAACGAUGCAUAGCCGACCUGAGAGGGUGAUCGGCCACACUGGAACUGAGACACGGUCCAGACUCCUACGGGAGGCAGCAGUAGGGAAUCUUCCGCAAUGGGCGAAAGCCUGACGGAGCAACGCCGCGUGAGUGAUGAAGGUCUUCGGAUCGUAAAACUCUGUUAUUAGGGAAGAACAGAUGUGUAAGUAACUGUGCACAUCUUGACGGUACCUAAUCAGAAAGCCACGGCUAACUACGUG
RNAcentral lists this ribosomal RNA (497 nucleotides) under uncultured bacterium. RNAcentral's name for it is "partial 16S ribosomal RNA". It matches the Rfam family "Bacterial small subunit ribosomal RNA", at positions 28 to 507 of the family's 1533-position model. The record is from RNAcentral.